This 497-nucleotide ribosomal RNA is filed under the name uncultured bacterium. RNAcentral describes it as "partial 16S ribosomal RNA". It matches the Rfam family "Bacterial small subunit ribosomal RNA", at positions 28 to 507 of the family's 1533-position model. The record is from RNAcentral.
GACGAACGCUGGCGGCGUGCCUAAUACAUGCAAGUAGAACGCUGAAGAGAGGAGCUUGCUCUUCUUGGAUGAGUUGCGAACGGGUGAGUAACGCGUAGGUAACCUGCCUUGUAGCGGGGGAUAACUAUUGGAAACGAUAGCUAAUACCGCAUAACAAUGGAUGACACAUGUCAUUUAUUUGAAAGGGGCAAUUGCUCCACUACAAGAUGGACCUGCGUUGUAUUAGCUAGUAGGUGAGGUAAUGGCUCACCUAGGCGACGAUACAUAGCCGACCUGAGAGGGUGAUCGGCCACACUGGGACUGAGACACGGCCCAGACUCCUACGGGAGGCAGCAGUAGGGAAUCUUCGGCAAGGGGGGCAACCCUGACCGAGCAACGCCGCGGGAGUGAAGAAGAUUGUCGGAUCGUAAAGCUCUGUUGUAGGUCAAGAACGGGUGUGAGAGUGGAAAGUUCACACUGUGACGGUAGCUUACCAGAAAGGGACGGCUAACUACGUG